UCCCUGGUGGUCCAGUGGCUACGACUCUGCACUCCUAAUGCAGGUGACCUGGGUUCAAAUCCUGGUCAGGGAA
Cervus elaphus (red deer) is the source of this 73-nucleotide non-coding RNA. NCBI's taxonomy places the organism in Eukaryota, Metazoa, Chordata, Mammalia, Artiodactyla, Cervidae. The record is from the annotation of a RefSeq genome assembly.